Molecule: small RNA, 518 nt
Filed under: Pongo abelii (Sumatran orangutan)
Lineage: Eukaryota; Metazoa; Chordata; Mammalia; Primates; Hominidae
Description: processed transcript
Source: RNAcentral
AUCCCACAUGGCGGCGCUCCUGAGGAGGCUGCUGCAGCGCGAGAGGCCUUCGGCGGCCUCUGGCCGCCCCGUAGGACGGCGCGAGGCCAGCUUGGGCACUGAUCCCGGGGUUGCGGUGCGAGUGCGGUUCGCUCCCAGCCCCACAGGCUUCUUGCACCUGGGUGGCCUCCGCACUGCUUUGUACAACUACAUCUUUGCUAAGAAGUACCAGGGGAGCUUCAUCCUGAGGCUGGAGGACACAGAUCAGACUCGCCUUGUGCCUGGGGCAGCGGAGAAUAUUGAGGACAUGCUGGAGUGGGCAGAUGAGAACCCAGAGCCCAGAAAGAUCACUUGCCCAAGGUCUGUGAGCUGGCUGGCAUCCCCCCUGAUGAGAGCCCCCGCCGGGGCGGUCCUGCUGGGCCCUACCAGCAAUCUCAGCGGUUGGAGCUGUACGCCCAGGCCACAGAAGCACUGCUGAAGACCGGAGCUGCUUACCCCUGUUUCUGCUCACCCCAGCGGCUGGAGCUCCUGAAGAAGGA